Molecule: transfer RNA, 74 nt
Filed under: Camelus bactrianus (Bactrian camel)
Lineage: Eukaryota; Metazoa; Chordata; Mammalia; Artiodactyla; Camelidae
Also listed under: 2 other names
Rfam family: tRNA
About the family: Transfer RNA (tRNA) molecules are approximately 80 nucleotides in length.
Source: Rfam by way of RNAcentral
GAGGGUGUAACUCAAAGUGGUAGAGUGCAUGCUUAAAAUGCAUGAGGUCCUGGGUUCUAUCUCCAGUAUCUCCU